GAUGAACGCUGGCGGCGUGCCUAAUACAUGCAAGUCGAGCGAACAGACGAGGAGCUUGCUCCUCUGACGUUAGCGGCGGACGGGUGAGUAACACGUGGAUAACCUACCUAUAAGACUGGGAUAACUUCGGGAAACCGGAGCUAAUACCGGAUAAUAUAUUGAACCGCAUGGUUCAAUAGUGAAAGACGGUUUUGCUGUCACUUAUAGAUGGAUCCGCGCCGCAUUAGCUAGUUGGUAAGGUAACGGCUUACCAAGGCAACGAUGCGUAGCCGACCUUAGAAGGUGAUCGGCCACACUGGAACUGAGACACGGUCCAGACUCCUACGGGAGGCAGCAGUAGGGAAUCUUCCGCAAUGGGCGAAAGCCUGACGGAGCAACGCCGCGUGAGUGAUGAAGGUCUUCGGAUCGUAAAACUCUGUUAUUAGGGAAGAACAAAUGUGUAAGUAACUAUGCACGUCUUGACGGUACCUAAUCAGAAAGCCACGGCUAACUACGUG
This 497-nucleotide ribosomal RNA is filed under the name uncultured bacterium. Its description in RNAcentral is "partial 16S ribosomal RNA". It matches the Rfam family "Bacterial small subunit ribosomal RNA", at positions 28 to 507 of the family's 1533-position model. The record is from RNAcentral.